Molecule: ribosomal RNA, 433 nt
Filed under: uncultured bacterium
Lineage: Bacteria
Description: partial 16S ribosomal RNA
Rfam family: Bacterial small subunit ribosomal RNA
Source: RNAcentral
AACGAACGCUGGCGGCAUGCCUAACACAUGCGAGUCGAACGAGACCUUCGGGUCUAGUGGCGCACGGGUGCGUAACGCGUGGGAACCUGCCCUUAGGUUCGGAAUAACUCCCCGUAAGGGGUGCUAAUACCGGAUAAUGUCUUCGGACCAAAGAUUUAUCGCCUUUGGAUGGGCCCGCGUUGGAUUAGCUAGUUGGUAGGGUAAAAGCCUACCAAGGCGACGAUCCAUAGCUGGUCUGAGAGGAUGAUCAGCCACACUGGGACUGAGACACGGCCCAGACUCCUACGGGAGGCAGCAGUGGGGAAUAUUGGACAAUGGGCGAAAGCCUGAUCCAGCAAUGCCGCGUGAGUGAUGAAGGCCUUAGGGUUGUAAAGCUCUUUUACCCGGGAUGAUAAUGACAGUACCGGGAGAAUAAGCGCCGGCUAACUCCGUG